UGGGGAAUUUUGGACAAUGAGCGAAAGCCUGAUCCAGCAAUGCCGCGUGUGUGAAGAAGGCCUUCGGGUUGUAAAGCACUUUUGUCCGGAAAGAAAUCCUUGGCUCUAAUACAGUCGGGGGAUGACGGUACCGGAAGAAUAAGCACCGGCUAACUACGUGCCAGCAGCCGCGGUAAUACGUAGGGUGCAAGCGUUAAUCGGAAUUACUGGGCGUAAAGCGUGCGCAGGCGGUUUGCUAAGACCGAUGUGAAAUCCCCGGGCUCAACCUGGGAACUGCAUUGGUGACUGGCAGGCUAGAGUAUGGCAGAGGGGGGUAGAAUUCCACGUGUAGCAGUGAAAUGCGUAGAGAUGUGGAGGAAUACCGAUGGCGAAGGCAGCCCCCUGGGCCAAUACUGACGCUCAUGCACGAAAGCGUGGGGAGCAAACAGGAUUAGAUACCCUGGUAGUCCACGCCCUAAACGAUGUCAACUAGUUGUUGGGGAUUCAUUUCCUUAGUAACGUAGCUAACGCGUGAAGUUGACCGCCUGGGGAGUACGGUCGCAAGAUUAAAACUUAAAUGAAUUGACGGGGUCAUAGCUG
RNAcentral lists this ribosomal RNA (579 nucleotides) under uncultured bacterium. RNAcentral describes it as "partial 16S ribosomal RNA". It matches the Rfam family "Bacterial small subunit ribosomal RNA", at positions 355 to 932 of the family's 1533-position model. The record is from RNAcentral.